Molecule: small nuclear RNA, 104 nt
Organism: Kogia breviceps (pygmy sperm whale)
Lineage: Eukaryota; Metazoa; Chordata; Mammalia; Artiodactyla; Physeteridae
Source: RefSeq, a predicted model, not a curated record
GUGCUUGCUUUGGCAAUAUGUAUACUAAAAUUGAAACAAUACAGAUAUUAGCCUGGCCCUUGUGCAAGGAUGACAGGCAUAUUUUUGAAGUAUUCUGUAUUUUG